This 1537-nucleotide ribosomal RNA is filed under the name Phaeocystis antarctica. Its description in RNAcentral is "eukaryotic LSU rRNA". The stretch from base 732 to 1537 matches the Rfam family "Eukaryotic large subunit ribosomal RNA", at positions 1 to 840 of the family's 3401-position model. The record is from RNAcentral. Lineage: Eukaryota; Haptophyta; Phaeocystales; Phaeocystaceae.
GUCGUAACAAGGUUUCCGUAGGUGAACCUGCGGAAGGAUCAUUACCGGUAUCCUCUCCCGCACCCCAUUGAGCAGGGUUCGCGUGGUGGCGCGUCUGUCUCUUUGAGACUGGCGGGUCGCGCGCGUCUCUCUCCUCGUCUCUUCGGAGGCGUUGACAACUGGUCGCAUUUCGAUGCGUCCCGUGUCAGUAGGGAUGUGAUGCGCGCGUGUCUGUUUGACGCGUGCGCACACGCCCGCCCCCUGUAUUUGCCGGUCGCAUUGCGCGGCUCGGCAAGACACUCCAAAUACCACAACUCCUGCCGACGGAUAUCUUGGCUCUCGCAACGAUGAAGAACGCAGCGAAAUGCGAUACGUAGUGCGAAUUGCAGAAUUCAGUGAAUCAUCGAACCUUUGAACGCAUAUGGCUCUUCCCGUUUCCGACUGGAAGAAUGCCCCUUCGAGUGGAGUCACCACCCCUCCUCGGCGCGCCUUGCGCGUGUCCGGAGUCGGCCGCUGCGACACGUUUGGUGUGGCACCGGCUCAAGGGCAGAGAGAGCCGCUGCGCCUCUGGUACCAUCGGGGAGCGUUGCUUUCCGCUGGCGUGCUAGUAUGGGCUUGGUCCCAUUUUGGUCGCCGGCCUUUGCGACGCGCUAUCGACCCGCAUGGUGUGGCGCUGGCGGCCUCCUCGCGCGACGACCUUUUAGGUGUCGCCGGUGAGUCGUCACUUCAUUGAAGUGUCGUCCUUUCUGACCCUCCAUCGAAUGGAGCAAGACUACCCGCUGAACUUAAGCAUAUCACUAAGCGGAGGAGAAGAAACUAACCAGGAUGCCCCUAGUAAUGGCGAAUGAAGCGGGCAGAGCUCACGCCGUCAAUCCGGAGGCUUUGAUUGCCCCCUGAAUUGUAGUCUGGAGAGGCGCCAUCGGCCGCGCCCGGCGCUCAAGUCCCUUGGAACGGGGUAUCGGAGAAGGUGAGAAUCCUGUGCCGCGCCGGCGCGUGGCCGCACGAUGCGUUCUCGUAGAGUCGGGCUGCUUGGGAGUGCAGCCUGAAGCGGGUGGUAAAUUCCAUCUAAAGCUAAAUACUGGCGAGAGACCGAUAGCGAACAAGUACCGUGAGGGAAAGAUGCAAAGAACUUUGAAAAGAGAGUUAAAGAGUGCUUGAAAUUGGCAGGAGGAAACCCGGUUGCGCGUGGCAUCGCGCGGCGUCGACUCAGCCUCGCGCGGGGCAUGUAGGGGACCUAACGGCUCCGUUGCCGGUGCGUGGGGUGCACUUCGGCGUCGCGGGUCAGCCGCGGCUCGGCGGGGGCAAGACGGCUGUUUGCAGGGCUUCGGCGUAGCGAAUGGUGAUGGCCCGCGCUGGGCUCCGGCUGAUGCGCACGGGCGCAACCGACCCGUCUAGAAACACGGACCAAGGGGUCUGACGCGUGUGCGAGUACCCGGGUGGCAAGCCCGCGUGCGCAAUGAAAGUGAAGGGCGUGCCCCGCCAACCGACCUUGAUCUUCUGUGAAGGGUUUGAGUGGAGCACACGAGUCGGGACCCGAAAGAUGGUGAACUAUGCGUGA